RNAcentral lists this ribosomal RNA (1954 nucleotides) under Escherichia coli. RNAcentral describes it as "partial 23S ribosomal RNA". It matches the Rfam family "Bacterial large subunit ribosomal RNA", at positions 911 to 2842 of the family's 2925-position model. Lineage: Bacteria; Pseudomonadati; Pseudomonadota; Gammaproteobacteria; Enterobacterales; Enterobacteriaceae. The record is from RNAcentral.
UGUUUCGGCAAGGGGGUCAUCCCGACUUACCAACCCGAUGCAAACUGCGAAUACCGGAGAAUGUUAUCACGGGAGACACACGGCGGGUGCUAACGUCCGUCGUGAAGAGGGAAACAACCCAGACCGCCAGCUAAGGUCCCAAAGUCAUGGUUAAGUGGGAAACGAUGUGGGAAGGCCCAGACAGCCAGGAUGUUGGCUUAGAAGCAGCCAUCAUUUAAAGAAAGCGUAAUAGCUCACUGGUCGAGUCGGCCUGCGCGGAAGAUGUAACGGGGCUAAACCAUGCACCGAAGCUGCGGCAGCGACGCUUAUGCGUUGUUGGGUAGGGGAGCGUUCUGUAAGCCUGUGAAGGUGUGCUGUGAGGCAUGCUGGAGGUAUCAGAAGUGCGAAUGCUGACAUAAGUAACGAUAAAGCGGGUGAAAAGCCCGCUCGCCGGAAGACCAAGGGUUCCUGUCCAACGUUAAUCGGGGCAGGGUGAGUCGACCCCUAAGGCGAGGCCGAAAGGCGUAGUCGAUGGGAAACAGGUUAAUAUUCCUGUACUUGGUGUUACUGCGAAGGGGGGACGGAGAAGGCUAUGUUGGCCGGGCGACGGUUGUCCCGGUUUAAGCGUGUAGGCUGGUUUUCCAGGCAAAUCCGGAAAAUCAAGGCUGAGGCGUGAUGACGAGGCACUACGGUGCUGAAGCAACAAAUGCCCUGCUUCCAGGAAAAGCCUCUAAGCAUCAGGUAACAUCAAAUCGUACCCCAAACCGACACAGGUGGUCAGGUAGAGAAUACCAAGGCGCUUGAGAGAACUCGGGUGAAGGAACUAGGCAAAAUGGUGCCGUAACUUCGGGAGAAGGCACGCUGAUAUGUAGGUGAAGUCCCUCGCGGAUGGAGCUGAAAUCAGUCGAAGAUACCAGCUGGCUGCAACUGUUUAUUAAAAACACAGCACUGUGCAAACACGAAAGUGGACGUAUACGGUGUGACGCCUGCCCGGUGCCGGAAGGUUAAUUGAUGGGGUCAGCGCAAGCGAAGCUCUUGAUCGAAGCCCCGGUAAACGGCGGCCGUAACUAUAACGGUCCUAAGGUAGCGAAAUUCCUUGUCGGGUAAGUUCCGACCUGCACGAAUGGCGUAAUGAUGGCCAGGCUGUCUCCACCCGAGACUCAGUGAAAUUGAACUCGCUGUGAAGAUGCAGUGUACCCGCGGCAAGACGGAAAGACCCCGUGAACCUUUACUAUAGCUUGACACUGAACAUUGAGCCUUGAUGUGUAGGAUAGGUGGGAGGCUUAGAAGUGUGGACGCCAGUCUGCAUGGAGCCGACCUUGAAAUACCACCCUUUAAUGUUUGAUGUUCUAACGUUGACCCGUAAUCCGGGUUGCGGACAGUGUCUGGUGGGUAGUUUGACUGGGGCGGUCUCCUCCUAAAGAGUAACGGAGGAGCACGAAGGUUGGCUAAUCCUGGUCGGACAUCAGGAGGUUAGUGCAAUGGCAUAAGCCAGCUUGACUGCGAGCGUGACGGCGCGAGCAGGUGCGAAAGCAGGUCAUAGUGAUCCGGUGGUUCUGAAUGGAAGGGCCAUCGCUCAACGGAUAAAAGGUACUCCGGGGAUAACAGGCUGAUACCGCCCAAGAGUUCAUAUCGACGGCGGUGUUUGGCACCUCGAUGUCGGCUCAUCACAUCCUGGGGCUGAAGUAGGUCCCAAGGGUAUGGCUGUUCGCCAUUUAAAGUGGUACGCGAGCUGGGUUUAGAACGUCGUGAGACAGUUCGGUCCCUAUCUGCCGUGGGCGCUGGAGAACUGAGGGGGGCUGCUCCUAGUACGAGAGGACCGGAGUGGACGCAUCACUGGUGUUCGGGUUGUCAUGCCAAUGGCACUGCCCGGUAGCUAAAUGCGGAAGAGAUAAGUGCUGAAAGCAUCUAAGCACGAAACUUGCCCCGAGAUGAGUUCUCCCUGACUCCUUGAGAGUCCUGAAGGAACGUUGAA